Molecule: ribosomal RNA, 302 nt
Filed under: uncultured bacterium
Lineage: Bacteria
Description: partial 16S ribosomal RNA
Rfam family: Bacterial small subunit ribosomal RNA
Source: RNAcentral
GCAGUCGCCGCGGUAAUACAGAGGGUGCGAGCGUUAAUCGGAUUUACUGGGCGUAAAGCGUGCGUGGGCGGCUUCUUAAGUCGGAUGUGAAAUCCCUGAGCUUAACUUAGGAAUUGCAUUCGAUACUGGGAAGCUAGAGUAUGGGAGAGGAUGGUAGAAUUCCAGGUGUAGCGGUGAAAUGCGUAGAGAUCUGGAGGAAUACCGAUGGCGAAGGCAGCCAUCUGGCCUAAUACUGACGCUGAGGUACGAAAGCAUGGGGAGCAAACAGGAUUAGAUACCCCAGUAGUCCCUGUCUCUUAUAC